CCAACAUGUAAAACCUCUCUACCUUGAGCCAAAGCAGUUUUUUUUGGUGAUGCUUGUUGUUGCUUUCUUUGUUGUGUAGGUGACAUUGGGAAGUGCUUGGAAGCUCAAGUUGCCGAUUUGAACAGAAGUGACAGUCCAGAGAAUACCACCUUACACGCUUCACUGGAGAGAGAGAGGGAGCAGACAUCGAGGAGAGGAAGUACCAGGUUCCAGGAGACAGUAUCAAGAGUCAGUAUCCUCUUCCAUGCUUGAAAUCAGUCACCACAGCUGUGUCUAGGACACUGUUACACCUGUUGACCGGCGAAUGAACUCGACCAAGUGUUGCCAUCAUUGCCAUAGUGACCACCCAGCGCUGCCCCUGGCGUGCAGAAUUUCACCACAGAAACUUGACUUACCAGGAAACAGACAGAAAAGCGGACAUCGAAGAUCUAUAUUUGUUCAGGAAGUGGUAACGGCUGCUUUGCUUGCAUCUUUUUAAAUGGUAUGGACGGUGGCAGGAUGCUGAGUGUUUGUUUAACUGUGUGAUCAGUCACAUUUUACAAAGUAUGUGAUUGUAAUCUCCAACUGUGAGGAGACUCAUCUGAAUUUGCUCGGUUAGCUAUGAUAUAUAAUAAAAGCAAUCCAAAAGAGGACAUUUUUCUCCCUCCAACAUGAAUCGUAAUAUUGAUCUGCAUGCUUGUUAGUGGUGAGCUGAAGGGUUUCAAUGACAAUCAUUUGGUCCAUCUGUCUGUCCUCCCAUCUGUGCAAAAACCAAAAGACUACCAGGCAGACGGCCAUGUAAUACAGUACACACCGUGUUUAUUGUUUCCAAAGGAUUAUUCUCAAUGAUUUUGUUGACCUGCUGACCUUUCAUCUGUCCUGAUCAGUUCUUUGGUAGAUGGUCAGCUAUCUCAGAAACAUAAGACUCAGUAAUCAACACUUUUACAGUGGAUAGUCAUUGAUCC
Molecule: long non-coding RNA, 944 nt
Organism: Amphiprion ocellaris (clown anemonefish)
Lineage: Eukaryota; Metazoa; Chordata; Actinopteri; Pomacentridae
Source: Ensembl